UCAAACUCCGCUUGAUUGUAAUCCAGUGAUUAGCUGCUUCAUGCGCUUGAUUUUACCAAUAUGGUUUGAAAUUGAUUUUCUGAACCAGGCCUUACUUAGUGGAUAAUCACCAAAUGGAUCAUAUCUAAUUCCAAUCGAUAUUCCAUAUGGUGAAAUCUGGUCCAAUACCAUUUUUAAAAAAAUAUUAUAUUGCCUUUGAAGACACAAAAGAUAUUUGUCCAAAUUUUAUU
Pseudophryne corroboree (corroboree frog) is the source of this 230-nucleotide long non-coding RNA. RefSeq lists it as uncharacterized. The record is from RefSeq and is a predicted model, not a curated record. NCBI's taxonomy places the organism in Eukaryota, Metazoa, Chordata, Amphibia, Anura, Myobatrachidae. The transcript has 3 exons.